RNAcentral lists this ribosomal RNA (136 nucleotides) under Triticum aestivum (bread wheat). The record is from RNAcentral. Lineage: Eukaryota; Viridiplantae; Streptophyta; Magnoliopsida; Poales; Poaceae.
UGACAUCUUACUAUUGUCAGGAAAACAACAAGUGCAGACUUGGAAACGAGGGAGAAUAGAACCCGGAAGUUAAGCGUGCUCAGGCUGGAGUAGUGCAAGGAUGGGUGACCGUCCAGGAAGUUAGAUGAUUUGGAAU